RNAcentral lists this ribosomal RNA (774 nucleotides) under uncultured Neocallimastigales. Its description in RNAcentral is "partial large subunit ribosomal RNA". It matches the Rfam family "Eukaryotic large subunit ribosomal RNA", at positions 26 to 628 of the family's 3401-position model. Lineage: Eukaryota; Fungi; Neocallimastigomycota; Neocallimastigomycetes; Neocallimastigales. The record is from RNAcentral.
CGCAUCUGUGCAUGCAGCAUAUCAAUAAGCGGAGGAAAAGAAACUAACAAGGAUUCCCCUAGUAACGGCGAGUGAAGCGGGAAGAAGCUCAAAUUUGAAAUCUUAAAGGGUUUCCCUUUACGAAUUGUAGUUUAAAGAAGUGUUUUCUGUUGAGGUUUUGGUAAAAGUUCUUUGGAAUAGGACAUCAUAGAGGGUGAGAAUCCCGUAUUUGACCUUUACUUUCAACUUUGUGAUACACUUUCAAAGAGUCGGAUUGUUUGGGAAUGCAGUCCAAAAUGGGUGGUAAAUUUCAUCUAAAGCUAAAUAUUGGCGAGAGACCGAUAGCGAACAAGUACCGUGAGGGAAAGAUGAAAAGAACUUUGAAAAGAGAGUUAAACAGUACGUGAAAUUGUCAAAAGGGAAGCGUUUGACACCAGUGUUGUUUUUCUGAAAAUCAAUUAAAGAACUGUUUAUGCUAAGCUGUUUAGACUUUAUCAGCUAUCUGUUUAGUUUUGAGCUUUUCUUUAACGCACUUUUCAGUUAACAAGUCAACAUCAAUUUCUUUUGCUGUAAAAAAGCUUGAGGAAGGUGGCUUGAGAUUCGUCUUAAGUGUUUAUAGCCUCUUGCCUAUGCAGUCGGAGAGAUUGAGGUCUGCAGCGUAGAUCCUUCGGGGCUAAAUGCAUUUGUGCUAAGUUAUAGCAUUUUAUAGACAACUUGUUGACUAUGAUUUGUCUUGUAGCUUACUCGCUUAUGUUAUUUUACCUACGCUUAGGAUGUUGAGUCGUAGAGCACGCA